GGGGACGUAGCUCAGCUGGGAGAGCGCCUGAUUUGCAUUCAGGAGGUCGGGAGUUCGAUCCUCCUCGUCUCCACCA
RNAcentral lists this transfer RNA (76 nucleotides) under Micavibrio sp. RNAcentral's name for it is "tRNA-Ala". It matches the Rfam family "tRNA". From Rfam's summary of the family: Transfer RNA (tRNA) molecules are approximately 80 nucleotides in length. Their secondary structure includes four short double-helical elements and three loops (D, anti-codon, and T loops). Lineage: Bacteria; Pseudomonadati; Bdellovibrionota; Bdellovibrionia; Bdellovibrionales; Pseudobdellovibrionaceae. RNAcentral also lists the same sequence under 3 other names. The record is from RNAcentral.